RNAcentral lists this ribosomal RNA (494 nucleotides) under uncultured bacterium. Its description in RNAcentral is "partial 16S ribosomal RNA". It matches the Rfam family "Bacterial small subunit ribosomal RNA", at positions 30 to 507 of the family's 1533-position model. The record is from RNAcentral.
AUUGAACGCUGGCGGCAUGCUUUACACAUGCAAGUCGAACGGCAGCGGGGAGGAGCUUGCUUCUCUGCCGGCGAGUGGCGAACGGGUGAGUAAUACAUCGGAACGUGUCGAGAAGAGGGGGAUAACCACCCGAAAGGGUGGCUAAUACCGCAUAAAUUCUGAGGAAGAAAGCUGGGGACCUAGGAAUAGGCCUAGCGCUUUUUGAGCGGCCGAUGUCGGAUUAGCUAGUUGGUGUGGUAAAGGCUCACCAAGGCGAAGAUCUGUAGCGGGUCUGAGAGGAUGAUCCGCCACACUGGGACUGAGACACGGCCCAGACUCCUACGGGAGGCAGCAGUGGGGAAUUUUGGACAAUGGGGGCAACCCUGAUCCAGCCAUGCCGCGUGUAUGAAGAAGGCCUUAGGGUUGUAAAGUACUUUUGUUAGGGAAGAAAAGUCAGCUGUGAAUAAUGGCUGAUACUGACGGUACCUAAAGAAUAAGCACCGGCUAACUACGUG